UUGAACGCUGGCGGCAGGCCUAACACAUGCAAGUCGAGCGGUAGCACAGAGAGCUUGCUCUCGGGUGACGAGCGGCGGACGGGUGAGUAAUGUCUGGGAAACUGCCUGAUGGAGGGGGAUAACUACUGGAAACGGUAGCUAAUACCGCAUAAUGUCGCAAGACCAAAGUGGGGGACCUUCGGGCCUCAUGCCAUCAGAUGUGCCCAGAUGGGAUUAGCUAGUAGGUGGGGUAACGGCUCACCUAGGCGACGAUCCCUAGCUGGUCUGAGAGGAUGACCAGCCACACUGGAACUGAGACACGGUCCAGACUCCUACGGGAGGCAGCAGUGGGGAAUAUUGCACAAUGGGCGCAAGCCUGAUGCAGCCAUGCCGCGUGUGUGAAGAAGGCCUUCGGGUUGUAAAGCACUUUCAGCGGGGAGGAAGGCGAUAAGGUUAAUAACCUUGUCGAUUGACGUUACCCGCAGAAGAAGCACCGGCUAACUCCGUGCCAGCAGCCGCGGUAAUACGGAGGGUGCAAGCGUUAAUCGGAAUUACUGGGCGUAAAGCGCACGCAGGCGGUCUGUCAAGUCGGAUGUGAAAUCCCCGGGCUCAACCUGGGAACUGCAUUCGAAACUGGCAGGCUAGAGUCUUGUAGAGGGGGGUAGAAUUCCAGGUGUAGCGGUGAAAUGCGUAGAGAUCUGGAGGAAUACCGGUGGCGAAGGCGGCCCCCUGGACAAAGACUGACGCUCAGGUGCGAAAGCGUGGGGAGCAAACAGGAUUAGAUACCCUGGUAGUCCACGCCGUAAACGAUGUCGAUUUGGAGGUUGUGCCCUUGAGGCGUGGCUUCCGGAGCUAACGCGUUAAAUCGACCGCCUGGGGAGUACGGCCGCAAGGUUAAA
This 878-nucleotide ribosomal RNA is filed under the name Klebsiella pneumoniae. RNAcentral describes it as "bacterial SSU rRNA". It matches the Rfam family "Bacterial small subunit ribosomal RNA", at positions 29 to 898 of the family's 1533-position model. The record is from RNAcentral. Lineage: Bacteria; Pseudomonadati; Pseudomonadota; Gammaproteobacteria; Enterobacterales; Enterobacteriaceae.